AGAAAAAGAUUUUUUCGUUACAAGAAAACACAUUAAAAAUCCCUUUCAAAUAUUUGACAAUCAAAUUCAAAUUUGAACAUUAUUUUUAAUUUUUUAUAGUAAUAAGUUAGAUUUAAAAAUAAGGACAAAGUUAUUUAUGACUGAUUUCGAUAACUUAGACGAUAGCUUAACAUCAACAUGUUUUUUCUUGUUUGUUUUAUUGAUGAUUUAAAAUGCUAUCAGACUCACUAUGGUUACUUUGUGACCUACUUUCUCAUGUCCUGCUAUAAAUAUUAGUGCUGUUUAUAAACCCUCUAUACUUUCCAAAUUGUAUACAUUCCUCUUGUAUAUUGGUGUAUGCUGCUUACCAUACAAGUCCACAAUUGAUGGCCUGCCCGUUAAUCCUUCAAAUGAGAAAUAACUAUAAUUGAUUAAAACACUAAUGAAAUGAAUUUCUUAGUUAUGAAGUUUUUUGAAGAAAGUUGAAGUAAAGUAUAGUUUUUUGAAGAAAGUUGAAGUAAACUAUAUAUACUAUCAGUAUAAUAUGUAAUUGGGAUGAGAAGUUGAUCAAUCUUAGCUACAAAAAUGACCUGUCGGCAAGCAGUAUAUACUAACAAUAUUUUUAGUUAUUAGUCAUAGACGUAGGUGCUAACGAUAUAAAUUAUUUUUAUUUUAACUGUUGUAUUACAUUUAGAAGACAUUUGCAAUAAUUUAUUGUUGUUUUAAUACUCUUUACAGCUAUUUUUAGACUUGUUUUGACUUGUUGACGAAUUUUAAACUCGCAAUAAUAAAUUUGUGGCAAUUAUAUAGUUUUAGAAAAAUGUUAUGAUUUGAAAUGCAACAUUUCAUUAUAAUGGUAACUAAAUAUCUGCAUUUUAAUUUUAUUUUGAAUUAUAUGAUUUGUUAAUGAGAGUUGCAAUUCUUGUUAUUUAUUUUCCUGUCAUUCUAAGACAUGUCAGAGAUUGAAUUAUCUCCCUUCUUGAUUUUUGAAUUAACUCCCUUGAUUUUGAAUUGUCUCCCUUCUUGAUUUUUCUAGGGAAAAAAAUAGCUGAAUAGUUUAUGUGCAGAAGGACAUAUAUAUCACAUUCCCUUCAUUCAUACAUUAUCAAAAUGUUUAAUUUAGGAUUGUUGAAAUCAGAAGAUCUUUUAGGCAGGAUAUCUCUCAAUAAGGGAGAUAAUUGAAUCAUAGCUUUAUUCGUCUUUUUAAUAUACAGGGUACUUGUUGAUUUUAAAUGUGAUUAUAAACAAAUGCUUUAUUGUAUGGGGGUUAUUUCUUGUUAGUUUAGUUAUUAGCACUGUUUUGGAUAGAGAUUGUUUUCAUAUAUCAAUACAUGUAAAAUGAAAUGAAUUAUGGUAAGAAUUGUAAAAAUGAAAUGAAGCUUUUUAUACCUAUACAUUUAAUGUCAAAAGUAUGCAAAGUCAAAUAUAUAAAGCAAUAAAAUAUUUAUUUUACAACUACAUUUUGUUUGAAGGACGAUUAGAAUAGAGUUAAAGAUUAUUUUUGCAGCAUUUAUUAUUUUUUUUAAAAGAACAAAACAAUUUACAUUUUAUUGUUUUGUUUACAACUGACAUCAAUUUAAAGUGAUAUUUUUUUAUCACAUUCUUUUGAUAAUUAAAAACAAGAUGCAAAAUUAUAUGAUGAUAAAUAUUUGGAAUUAAUUAUCAUGUAAGUUGAGGCAAUCAGGCAAGAAACAUGUUCUAACUUUUACUGGAUUAUUAUAUAAUCAGGAAUUUCUGUCUCUAUAUGAUAUUUUUAAAUUGAAUUAAACCCUGACAAAAUCAAUUAAAAUGCAAAGAUUUAUUUUAAAAUAAUUAUGAAAUAUUUUGAUUGUAGAAAAUGUUUUAAAUCAUGUUUGUUUGAAAUAUUCAAAAAGUUCAAUUAUACUCAGCAGUGUUUUUGAUCUGUACAGAAAAUAAAUCAUUCACAAAUUGUUAGUUUUUAUAUAGAAAGCCUUUUUUAGGUUAAAUUUACAAAUUCAAAUUUUUAUUUUAGUUGCAUAAAAUUAUUUUAGAGGUACAGAUAACAAUGUUUGCAUACUAAUGAUAUGUUUACAUGAUGCUCAGAUUGUUUAAAAAUCCCAGUAAAAAAUAGAUAAAGCUAAACUAUGAGAAUGCUUUGUAUUGAAAAGGGAGAUAAUAAAAAAAGAAGAAAAAAAGAACAGGGAGAUAAUCUUCUUAUUACCUCCCUUGACAACUUCUACAUCAUUACUAGACUCUAUUCAUGAUAUUUAUACUCACAGAUACUACUUUUUAUAAUUCAGAAAAUUUCUUUUAUUCAGUUUCAAGUCUCUUACCUUAAGAAUUUUAGUUGUACUCCACAGAAUGAAUUUUAGUUAUUUUUUUGGGGGAUUAAAAUAAAAAGAUUUUGAUGGUCGCCUCUGUAUAAUUAAGACAUCUGUAUGCUACAGACAUACAGAUUUGUAUUAAAGCUGUGUAAAACUAUUGUUACAUGUUGAUGAUAUAUUAAGUGUCAUAGAUUAUUGUUGGACAUGCCAAAAAAUAUUGUACAUGUCAAAAUAUGCAAUAAAAUAGUGAAAAAACAGAC
RNAcentral lists this long non-coding RNA (2524 nucleotides) under Mytilus galloprovincialis (Mediterranean mussel). The record is from RNAcentral. Lineage: Eukaryota; Metazoa; Mollusca; Bivalvia; Mytilida; Mytilidae.